GGUGUGGCUCAGUGGUUGAGCAUCAGCCUGUGAACCAGAAGGUCACGGUUCGAUUCCCUGUCAGACCA
This 68-nucleotide transfer RNA is filed under the name Myotis davidii. It matches the Rfam family "tRNA". From Rfam's summary of the family: Transfer RNA (tRNA) molecules are approximately 80 nucleotides in length. Their secondary structure includes four short double-helical elements and three loops (D, anti-codon, and T loops). Lineage: Eukaryota; Metazoa; Chordata; Mammalia; Chiroptera; Vespertilionidae. The record is from Rfam by way of RNAcentral.